This 453-nucleotide ribosomal RNA is filed under the name uncultured bacterium. Its description in RNAcentral is "bacterial SSU rRNA". It matches the Rfam family "Bacterial small subunit ribosomal RNA", at positions 29 to 526 of the family's 1533-position model. The record is from RNAcentral.
AGCGAACGCUGGCGGCAGGCCUAAUACAUGCAAGUCGAGCGGGUGUAGCAAUACACCAGCGGCAGACGGGAGAGUAACACGUGGGAACGUGCCCUUCAGUUCGGAACAACCCAGGGAACUUGGGCUAAUACCGGAUACGUCCGUAAGGAGAAAGAUUUAUCGCUGAAGGAUCGGCCCGCGUCUGAUUAGCUUGUUGGUGAGGUAACGGCUCACCAAGGCGACGAUCAGUAGCUGGUCUGAGAGGAUGAUCAGCCUCACUGGGACUGAGACACGGCCCAGACUCCUACGGGAGGCAGCAGUAGGGAAUAUUGGACAAUGGGCGCAAGCCUGAUCCAGCCAUGCCGCGUGGGUGAUGAAGGCCCUAGGGUUGUAAAGCCCUUUCGGCGGGGAAGAUAAUGACGGUACCCGCAGAAGAAGCCCCGGCUAACUUCGUGCCAGCAGCCGCCGUAACAC